This 388-nucleotide ribosomal RNA is filed under the name Reticulitermes affinis. Its description in RNAcentral is "partial 16S ribosomal RNA". Lineage: Eukaryota; Metazoa; Arthropoda; Insecta; Blattodea; Rhinotermitidae. The record is from RNAcentral.
CAUCUUUUCUCGUUAGUUUUUGAAGUAUGGCCUGCCCACUGACUUUGGUGUUGAAGGGCCGCGGUAUUUUGACCGUGCAAAGGUAGCAUAGUCAUUAGUUCUUUAAUUGUGAUCUGGUAUGAAUGGCUUGACGAGGCAUGGGCUGUCUUAAUUUUGAAUUGUUUAUUGAAUUUGGUCUUUGGGUUAAAAUUCUUAGAUGUUUUUAUGGGACGAGAAGACCCUAUAGAGUUUAACAUUUGUUAUGGUCCCUUUCUGUUUGUGAGGGUUCAUUGGGCCGUUAAAUAUGUUUUGUUGGGGUGAUGGGAGGGAUUAUUUAACCCCUCCUUUUGUUAUUAUAUUUAUUUAUAUUUACUUGAUCCAUUUAUUUUGAUUGUAAGAUUAAAUUACC